GACGAACGCUGGCGGCGUGCUUAACACAUGCAAGUCGAACGGAAAGGCCCUGCUUUUGUGGGGUGCUCGAGUGGCGAACGGGUGAGUAACACGUGAGUAACCUGCCCUUGACUUUGGGAUAACUUCAGGAAACUGGGGCUAAUACCGGAUAGGAGCUCCUGCUGCAUGGUGGGGGUUGGAAAGUUUCGGCGGGUGGGGAUGGACUCGCGGCUUAUCAGCUUGUUGGUGGGGUAGUGGCUUACCAAGGCUUUGACGGGUAGCCGGCCUGAGAGGGUGACCGGCCACAUUGGGACUGAGAUACGGCCCAGACUCCUACGGGAGGCAGCAGUGGGGAAUAUUGCACAAUGGGCGGACGCCUGAUGCAGCAACGCCGCGUGCGGGAUGACGGCCUUCGGGUUGUAAACCGCUUUCGCCUGUGACGAAGCGUGAGUGACGGUAAUGGGUAAAGAAGCACCGGCUAACUACGUG
RNAcentral lists this ribosomal RNA (468 nucleotides) under uncultured bacterium. RNAcentral's name for it is "partial 16S ribosomal RNA". It matches the Rfam family "Bacterial small subunit ribosomal RNA", at positions 28 to 507 of the family's 1533-position model. The record is from RNAcentral.